CUUCGGAAUCUUGAGAGCGGCGCACGGGUGCGGAACACGUGUGCAACCUGCCUUUAUCAGGGGAAUAGCCUUUCGAAAGGAAGAUUAAUGCCCCAUAAUAUAUUUUCUGGCAUCAGAAGAUAUUGAAAACUCCGGUGGAUAAAGAUGGGCACGCGCAGGAUUAGAUAGUUGGUAGGGUAACGGCCUACCAAGUCAACGAUCCUUAGGGGGCCUGAGAGGGUGAUCCCCCACACUGGUACUGAGACACGGACCAGACUCCUACGGGAGGCAGCAGUGAGGAAUAUUGGACAAUGGGUGAGAGCCUGAUCCAGCCAUCCCGCGUGAAGGACGACGGCCCUAUGGGUUGUAAACUUCUUUUGUACAGGGAUAAACCUUUCCACGUGUGGAAAGCUGAAGGUACUGUACGAAUAAGCACCGGCUAACUCCGUGCCAGCAGCCGCGGUAAUACGGAGGGUGCAAGCGUUAUCCGGAUUUAUUGGGUUUAAAGGGUCCGU
This 494-nucleotide ribosomal RNA is filed under the name Chryseobacterium sp. Zn1. RNAcentral's name for it is "bacterial SSU rRNA". It matches the Rfam family "Bacterial small subunit ribosomal RNA", at positions 78 to 572 of the family's 1533-position model. The record is from RNAcentral. Lineage: Bacteria; Pseudomonadati; Bacteroidota; Flavobacteriia; Flavobacteriales; Weeksellaceae.